Molecule: long non-coding RNA, 4273 nt
Organism: Nothobranchius furzeri (turquoise killifish)
Lineage: Eukaryota; Metazoa; Chordata; Actinopteri; Cyprinodontiformes; Nothobranchiidae
Source: Ensembl
AUGUGCUUGUAUUCUUCAUUUGCUAAUAAGAUGUAUUUUUAUCUGUAUUACAGGACAAUCGAGGCUUUGAAAAAUGGAACCCAGGCAGUGAUUUCAGAUGGUGAAAUCAAGACUUUGUAUAAGGAUCUCUGCAGCGGUAGAGUGAAGUCUGGCCUCAUGUAUCUGUGGCACAAUCCAGGUGUCUCGCUUAAAUUAAAGCAAAGACUAAAGCCACUGAUGUUCCACUUUGCUGAUGCACAGGUUGACGAGCUGACAGAGCGGAUUGGUUCAUGCUCAGGAAUAGAUAAACUAAUAAAGAAGGGAGAGUUCCAGUUUCUGGACUUGGUGUUUGAUGUCCUUGUUCCAGAGGUACAACGCAGUCUUCAGCAGUGAUUGGUAUAAAAGUUACUUUUUGAAAACAUUUGACAGUGUAUGAAUUAAUCCUGCAUGUUUUUCAGGUGACAAUAAAAGUGUUGGAAAAAUGGGAGUGGAUGAAUCGAUAUACAGCUGAGAAAGCCAUGCUUCAGCAAAUUCAUUUGUACCCAAAAUAAAAUGGUUGUGAAAUUAAGUGUUUCUUUGGUUUUAUUGUCUUUCACUCAAAAUAAAUACCAACUAGCUAAAUAGUUAUCAGCUGUAGUAGUUACAUUCUGUUGCAGUGAGCUGCUGUGAUACACAUAUAGGACAGUGUUAUGGAUAUUUAGUAAUAAAUUUUUGUUGCUGGUGAGAGAGGAGUGUUGCUGAAAUGUUUUUCACUGCUUCUGGGAGUCCUGUACUUUAGCAAUUGGUGCAGGUCAAAAGUUCAUCUUGGGCUUAACAAUAAAGCUGAAUAUUUAGCAUCUACUAUUUUGUUUGCACAUCUUGAAAAGUCUUAGUUUAAUGUGUUCUCAUUUUUUCCAUAUAUGUUUCUUUUAUUCACUUUACAGCCUUUUAUUGCUGUAAAAAAUGUAUAUAUAUAUAUAUAUAUAUAUAUGCUACUGUCAUAAAAAUUCCCUGUCUGAAGGACAAAGGUAUUUAAUAUUCACUUUUCAUGCAACGUAGGUAACGACGUUAUUUAAAAGUUUGCCAGUCCCGAUUUGAAGAGAAAAAAAUCCGAAAUAAAAAGCUUUUUUCUGUCAUUUUUGUUUAAAAAAACUACUUCCAGUGAAAGUAAUGACUUCUGGUUAAGGUAAUGACCCACCGUAUAAUUUUUAUCUUAAAUAUGUAUAUAUUUAUACAUGUAUCUAAGAGAAAAACGACACGGUGUGAUUUUUCUCGUCAAAUCCAAACUACUUCCGGCAAACGUAAUGACCCGAUGUCUUGUUUUUCCGUUUACGUCAUUUCCGGUCACGGCAAAGACGCCAGCUGAUGUCUGCAGCCAGAUGCUCGUGUCAACUUUGGGUGUUUUUAAAACCUUCCUUUAAAAAGCCGAAACAAAAAAUGUCCAAAUUCGUAUACGAGUGCCAAUUUCCUAAAACCCCAAUUUAAAUAUGAUUAUGUGCAAAAUGGUGUAAAGAAUGUGCUGUUUUCUGUACACAAGCAGACAAAAACAAAAAUAUGCUUGCUGUAAUUUCUCCAUUUUCUACGUUGUGUCUGACAUAUCUUUUCAUCUUUCGUAGUUUUAAUAACAAGUUUCCAAGGGAAAGCACAACAGUUGUUUACCUUGAACAAACAACAGUAGAGUACUUUCUCUUGUUGAACGUCCAUCUGAAUUAAAGGUCCCAAGUUCAUAUUUUCCACUGUCAUCCCUGAUCAGGCUAUUGAUCCCAACUGUUCCAGUACUGGGAAUAAAAAUGACUCUUGACCCUUAUGAUAGUUGUAUUACAGUACUUUUAUUUCUCCACCAGACUACAUUUGAACCAUCUUUUUACCAGUCUAAUCCGGGUAUCUCUGCAGUGUUGUCCACCAGCUGGAUGUCCACAGCUCCUCCUAAAGCUCCGACACACUGAGCUCCAUCCUGUCUGCCAUCACAGAAAGUUUCUACAGGUGGAAAAAACAAUAAAGAGAUUUUACAGUGAAACACGACAAUAAGAUCAGAUUUAAAACAAUUAUUCAACCUAAAAUAAAUGGUUAAAUGCAACAUAUUUACACAGUUUUGCUGAAUUUAAAUGAUAAAUUCAAAUAACACAACAAAUUAAAUUUAAAUGCAGCUGUUUAAUGGUUGAAGAUGAUGGAAAUACUUUACAAUCUUAGUGAGAGAUUCCAAUCAGCAGCAGUCCAACCACAGCGUCCAUAAUAAUGAGUUUUACUCUGAGCAGCCUGCAUGGUGUGCUGAUAGUGAUCAGCCUCUGAGGAGAAUGUGAGGAAAUGAAACAAAGUUUCUAUCGUUUCCAACUUCUGAGAGGAGGAAUAACUGCAAGUUUUAGUUCCCCUUUAAGCUAAAGGAAACAGUGAUAACAGAGGAAAGUACUGAACCUUGGUCCUAAUUUCAUUUCAUCUGAAUAUUUAUUCAUUUAUAAUAAAUUAAACUUUAAUUAAACCUCCUUUUAGCAUUUUGUGUGCCUCAGAUGUGUCUGUACGUUAAUUUGUCAUUUCUCCACAAGCUGAUGGUGUGCCUGCAUUUAUAAUCUAGACACCUACAGUCAGGUCCAUAAAUAUUGGGACAUCGACACAAUGCUAACAUUUUUGGCUCUAUACACCACCACAAUGGAUAUCAAAUGAAACAAAUGAGAUGUGCUUUAACUGCAGACUGUUAGCUUUUAUUUGAGGGUAUUUUUAUCAGGUGAACGGUGUUGGAAUUACAACAGUUUGCAUAUGUGCCUCCCACUUGUUAAGGGACCAAAGUAAUGGUACAGAAUAAGAACCAUAAAUCAAACUUAUACAUUUCAAUACUUGGUUGCAAAUCCUUUGCAGUUAAUUACAGCCUGAAGUCUGGAACACAUAGACAUCACCAGAUGUUGGGUUUCAUCCCUGGUGAUGCUCUGCCAGGCCUCUACUGCAAAAGUCUUCAGUUUCUGCUUGUUCCUGGAGCAUUUUCCCUUCAGGUUUGUCUUCAGCAAGUGAAAUGCAUGCUCAAUCGGAUUCAGGUCAGGUGAUUGACUUGGCCAUUGCAAAACAGUCCACUUGUUUCCCUUCAAAAACUCUUUGGUUGCUUUUGCAGUAUGCUUUGUGUCAUUGUCCAUCUGCACUGUGAAGCGCCGUCCAAUGAGUUCUGAGGCAUUUGGCUGAAUAUGAGCAGAUAAUAUUGCCCAAAACACUUCAGAAUUCACCGUGCUGCUUUUGUCAGCAGUCACAUCAUCAAUAAAUACAAGAGAACCAGUUCCACUGGCAGCUGUACAUGCCCACGCCAUGACACUUCCAGCACCAUGCUUCACUGAUGAGGUGGUAUGCUCAGGAUCAUGAGCAGUUCCUUUCCGUCUCCAUACUCUUCUCUUCCCAUCACUCUGGUACAAGUUGAUCUUGGUCUCAUCUGUCCAUAGGAUGUUGUUCCAGAACUGUGAAGGCUUUUUUAGAUGUUGUUUGGCAAACUCUAAUCUGGCCAUCCUGUGUUGGGGGCUCACCAAUGGUUUAUAUCUUGUGGUGAACCCUCUGUAUUCACACUGGUGGAGUCUUCUCUUGAUUGUUGACUUUGACACAGAUACACCUACCUCCUGGAGAGUGUUCUUGAUCUGGCCAACUGUUGUGAAGGGUGUUUUCUUCACCAGGGAGAGGAUUCUUCGAUCACAGUUGUUUUCCGUGGUCUUCCGGGUCUUUUGGUGUUGCUGAGCUCACCGGUGCGUUCCUUCUUUUUGAGAAUGUUCCAAACUGUUGUUUUGGCCACGCCUAAUGUUUUUGCUAUCUCUCUGAUAGGUUUCUUUUGUUUUUUUAAGCCUAAUGAUGGCUUGCUUCACUGAUAGUGACAGCUCUAUGGAUCUCAUCUUGACAGUUGACAGCAACAGAUUCUAAAUGCAAAUAGCACACUUCAAAUGAACUCUGGACCUUUUAUCUGCUCAUUGUAAUUGGGAUAAUCACCAAGCCCCCACAAUGCGGGUGAAAAAUUGAGCCCAAUCCGGAAGUAGCAAAAGUUGCAGUUCCACCCUCAUCCGCUGGGGGCUGGUGUCAGAAGCGAGCAAAUCCUCAUUGACUCCCAUGUUAAAAAUAUCAAUUUCACAGCAGAAAUAAACAUGUUUACAGCCUGGUACCAAAACAUGUUUUUGGUUUAAAUGAUCUAGUUUACACUCAUGACAACUCUGAGGGGGGUGAAUUUUUUUCUCACUCUUCUGUUUAAGUGUAUUAAAAGCCUAAAAUUCUGUAUAAUUAAUGAGCAUCAGACCCACGUGACCACAGAGCUAGCUCCGUGGAAAGGCCUCAGUAGAGCCUCGGUCUGGCUUGGAAACUG